Long non-coding RNA from Drosophila gunungcola (fruit fly), 478 nucleotides. RefSeq lists it as uncharacterized. The transcript is spliced from 3 exons. NCBI's taxonomy places the organism in Eukaryota, Metazoa, Arthropoda, Insecta, Diptera, Drosophilidae. The record is from RefSeq and is a predicted model, not a curated record.
GAAAAUAAAGUCAAACAGACACAUGUCUCCAGCGUGGAAAACUUUUUGAUGGUGUGUGAGCGAGUCUCUAUUCCAGAUUAUCAGAGGCAGAACCACAGGAGGAUACAGAUAUAGAUAUGGAUAUGGGGAACUGGAGACCAGGGUGAAAACGGGAUGCAGACGGACUCUGUCUGGCAACAGCCUGCUAACGACGUUGUCAGCAACAUGGAAGAACAAUCGCCAUGAAAAAAGUGCCGACAAGCGAAUGCAUAACAAGCUGGGUUCAGAAGUAAGAGAUAGGAAAACAAAGUGCGAGGGAGAUGGUGUACUGGGAUCGUGAAUUUGAUAUGCAAACAUUGGAGGAUAAAAUUACAAUUGGAAGGGAGAAGGAUGUUCGAGCAAACUUGGGAGUAGCGAAAUGCUUUGAGGCACUUGAUGCACUUGAUUGCAGCUGGGAGAUGCAAAUUAAUAUCUCUCCAAAAGACAAAUUAGAGGCAAA